UACGUAGGGUGCUAGCGUUGUCCGGAUUUAUUGGGCGUAAAGAGCUUGUAGGCGGCUCGUCGCGUCGGGUGUGAAAACUUGCGGCUUAACCGCAAGCCUGCACCCGAUACGGGCGGGCUAGAGUUCGGCAGGGGAGACUGGAAUUCCUGGUGUAGCGGUGGAAUGCGCAGAUAUCAGGAGGAACACCGGUGGCGAAGGCGGGUCUCUGGGCCGAUACUGACGCUGAGGAGCGAAAGCGUGGGGAGCGAACAGG
RNAcentral lists this ribosomal RNA (253 nucleotides) under uncultured bacterium. RNAcentral's name for it is "partial 16S ribosomal RNA". It matches the Rfam family "Bacterial small subunit ribosomal RNA", at positions 524 to 776 of the family's 1533-position model. The record is from RNAcentral.